RNAcentral lists this long non-coding RNA (4835 nucleotides) under Theobroma cacao (cacao). RNAcentral's name for it is "long non-coding RNA (TCAC_LNC005613)". The record is from RNAcentral. Lineage: Eukaryota; Viridiplantae; Streptophyta; Magnoliopsida; Malvales; Malvaceae.
AUCAGCCCAUUUCUCCCAUAGUGAUCAGCCAAACCAGAAGAGAAGAGAAACCAAGGAAGAACAAACCCUAGGUGGGAAAAAUCUAAGAGAAAGUGUUGGAAUUCAAGGAUUUGAUCAUGCAAAGGUAAAAUUUCUUUGAUUUUGCUAGUGAUUUACCUUACCCAUGCAUUUUCCUUUAAUUUCCAUGGUUAAAUUAUAUGUUUUCAUAAUGAAUUCAUGGCUGGUUGGAAUGGGUAUGGAGAGAGAAUGAUGUUAGAUUGAUUUGAUUCUAAGUUAUGUUAGUGUUUUUAGUUAGUUAAGCAUGUUUAGAAACAAAACAACAAGAAAAUAAUCCAUUUUCUCCAUGAACCUUCAAUGGCCGAACCCUAUGUGAAGUGUAGAAGUAAUGAAUUGAUUUUGUGAUCAAGUGAAUUGGUUGAAAAAUUGACGAAAUGAUUAUGGUGAGAAAAUUUUUAGUGAUAAUGCACCACAAUCGUCGAAAUUUUCAAGAAGAAUUGUGAGGGUUGUUGGGCUGAAUCUUAGAUUAUUGGAAUUGUAUUUAGUUAAUUGAAAUAUUAGAAAUGAAAUGGAGCAAUUUGGAGCCAAAUCGGACACAAUUAUCAUUUAAUCGGGUAAUAGGCCGAAUUAGGUCAGCACCUCAUUCAAGCAGUAGUUGGAUAAGUUGCAUAUCAUAUCAUGCAUAUACACUGAGUCUGAAUUGAUUUUAUAAUGAUCAAGCAUUGAUGUGGUGAAUUAUGUACUGUACAUUGUAGAUAGGUGGUGAGUAAAUUACACUGGUAAAAGUACAGAGAUUGUGCUUAGAGACUGGGAUUAGGAGUACAUUGACUCCUAGAACUGUGAGUAAACUUAUUAUCGUCUUAAUUAUCUAGAGUAGUUUUAUACAACUAUGUGAUUUUGUGAAAAAUGGGUUUAAAUGGUAAAUUGCUAUGUUUUAGGAUAAAUUGUGAUUUUAUAAAAUGAUUUUAUAAAUUUUCUAGAAAAUUGAAUACUGGUUUUGAAAAUAGAGUAAUUAGAGACUGCCUGCUUGUGUUGUAAAUUUAUGGUUUUAAAUUGAAUGGCUUAUGACAAUAUGAGCAUGAAUGGCUAAACGGAUUUUGGUGGUAGAAUUAUUUGUGCUGUGUAUUCAGCCUUGAGAGGCUAGGUUGCGAUAAAUUGCAAUGUCAUGCAGAAAAAGAUUUUAUAAAUCAAGUGGUAGAUAAAAUAAUUCAUAGUCACUGUAGUGGUGGUGUCACGACCCGACACUCCCUUCGAGCCCGUGACAACCGUCACGAAGUCUCUAUAGACAUUCAUUACCCGAAAUGUCAAUCGAAACCUCGCAAGGCUCUUGCAUCAGUUUUCCACUUCCCCUGUGAGCAAUAGUUACUAAAUAUCGAGUUUUAAGAGAAUAUAAACUACUUUAGAUAAAAAAACAAUCAAAAUAAAAUUUUCGCCACACAUGGGUAUUUUGGUCAUUUUUACUCAAAAAUUUCGAAACUUGAUGAAAAUACAACAUAUGGUAGACAGAUAUCCAUUUCCAAUCAAAAUAAAUUUUUGUAAUCUAAAUCAUCCAUUUGGAGUGAAAAGUUGGCUAAUUAGACUAAAUAAAAAUAUUCGAUAAUAUAUUCUAUUUUCUUAUAAAAUAAUUUUUAUAGAACUAUGCAUAAACAAUUUUUGUAGCAUAAGAACAAAAUAAAUUCAUACACAUAGUGAUACAGUAAACCAGGUAUUCAAAAUUAUCCUACAGUGGCAUAUGGACCCCGAGAUAACCAAAAGUGUGCAAGAAUGUAGACCUACGAUUUUCAAGAAAGUAAGUCCAAAAGAAAUCCUUGAUGAAAUCAACUGCCUACAGAUUAUCCUGAAUCUGAAAUGGUUAAAAAAAGAAAGGGUGAGUUUUCAUAAACUCAGUGAGUAAACAAAGUCCGUCAUUAACUUCUAAAACCGAGUAAAUGGAGACAAUUAACUUUUCAUGAUAUCAUAAUCCACAACAUUUUGUACUUGUUUCAAAUCAUAUAAAACAACACAUUUCAUUAUAAUACACAUCACGACUUAUGAUUUUCUUAAAAACUUGGCUCAUGCCAAAAAUCAUACUCGAUGAUACCUUGGCCGAGGCAUUCAAUCGAGUCUGCCAAGGUUAUUAAGUUAACAACUACUCAUAAAAACAUAGUUUAGCCAUCCCUUGGCGUUGGCAGAGUUCAUCCUCAAAUGGUGGUUCGGUGUGAAGUGAACUCUAUUGUACCUUAGGAGAUAUCCUUCGCGCCUCUCAUACUAAGGUAAAUAUAACAGGGUUUACCGUGCCCCUCUAAUAGGCUGGUCCACGGAAACUCGCCUACUGCAGUGGCUAAUUAAAUAACCCACCAAUCAAUAAAAUUUUGACAGCAUAACGUGGCUAACAUAAUACUACCCAGCCUAUCAAAGGAAAACAAACAGUUUAUAUAUUUCACAACCCAAAAACCCAGCCACAUAUGUCAUCACGCAUCAGUUCAUAAAUCAUCAAUUCCAAACGUAGGUACGUAAACUUAAAUAUAUAGGCAACAUCAAAGGUUGGUCUCCACAUACUCACAUUUUCAAAAAUAUUAUUGAAUUGUAAAAUAAGUCAUAAACCUUAUUCCUUAAAUCGAUUAUUAGUCAUAAAAUUCAUUUAGGUUCAAUAUUCUUAAGAUCAUAAAAACGAUUGUAAAAAUACUCUAGAUAGAUAAGAUGAACAAUGGUUACUCACUUUGAUGGGAAUUUACAACACUCCUAGUCUUGAUCCUCGGGUACAAUACCUUUGCCCUUAUCCGAGGGCUCACCACCUAUACAUAAUGUGUAACAGGAAAUUUAAUAUACUUAUGCUAAAUCGUCACAAAACUAUUCUAUGUUCUAUAUGAAUGCAUGCAAUGAAAUGGGAGGUGUUCGGUCUAUCGCGCACUAUACACUAUUUAAUCGGUCUAAAUGUCAAAUUCGAUUCCAAUUAAUUUAUUGCACUUUCAGUACUCCCCAAAACUCCACACACUUCACUAAAAAUCUAUUCUAAGUGCAAUUACCAAAAUAUCCCUCAUUAUGGUGCAAAUUGCUAAUUAACGGGAGUAAAAUUUUUCGGUACCUGUUUUCGAUUUCUGGUAUUCCUAAGCACCAAAUACAAUCUAAAGGGCAUGCAAAACAACCAAAUUCAUCAUCAAACCUCACCCAUAAAAUUCGGCCAAGAUAGGUUCUAUAAUGGGCAUGUGGAUUUCUUGCUUAAUUUUCAUACUAAAUGUUACUAAACACCUAAAAACACUAAGUUACCUUAAAAUUCAACUAAAUUCAUCACCAACUUUCUCUCUCUAAAUUUGGCCAGCAUAUUGCCCCUCAUGAAAACUUGAAUUUAAUUCAUGAAAAAUUGAAAAGAAUGCAUGGGCAAGAUGAAUUUCAAGCUUAAGAUUAAAAAUCUUACCUUUAAUCACCAAUUUCUUAAAAAUUCAACAAAUUUUCCUUAAUUUUUCCUCCCUAGGGUUUUUCUUUUCUUUUUUUCUCUUUUCUGCAGGUGCUGGUCGGCCCUCAAAUUCUAAGUGGAAGAGUAUGGGCUGGUUUUUAAAUGGCAAUAUAAUAAUAUUUAAUUUUUGACACAUGUCACCUUUUUAUUGAUCCACUUGUUUUAACUUAAUUUUUAAACCUUUUCUCACCACCACAAAUACUCUAAUACUUAUCCAUAGCAUAAAAUAAUAAUGGGUAAAAUUCUGGAGCUUGACAAAUAUCAUGGUGGUGUAAAAUCGUAAAAUUCUAAUUUUGCCCUUGUGGACUCGAAAAAUGACAUUUUUGCCCUUAUGUUCGAAAUUGAAAUUUUUCACUUCUCAAUCUCAAAUUAUACUCCAAUUGGUCAAACUUGAUCAAAAUUUUCAUCCAACUUUCCAAAUUUACCCUCGGGUGCAAAAUUACCAUUUUGCCCCUAUGGUAUGAAAAUUCCUAAUUAACUCCAAUUUAAUCCUCGAACUCCAAAUCACCAUAUUAAGUCAUUUUGAGGUUUUAAAAUUUUAAUUUCAUCUUAAAAUUCCUAUUUGAACUAGUUCGAGGAUUUAAAUUAACUUAGUUGCAUAACUAAUUACGAUACCGAUUAUUUAACUAUUUCUAAGGCAUUCUAACAUGUAGAUGUGUCAUUAAGUAUAUGGAUGUUAUGAUGAGGAUAUAAUGGAGUAGGGCUUGACAGGUGGGGAUUUUUGUGGACUACCUAUGAGAGGGGUACGGUAACCCAAUUAUAUAUUUACCUCCGGGGGGAGAUGUUGGAUGAAGCAUCUCCUGAGGUAAAGAUUUGAGUGCACUUCACGUGGACCACUGCGUGAGAGUGAAACUCAGCCAAUGCCAAGGCAUGGCUAAAAUUUUGGAUGUAAAGACAUUUAAUAGCCUUGACGGACCCGGUUGAGAUAACCCUCGAUCAAAGUAUCCCUGAUAACUGAGUAUGAGAAUGAUUUUUUUGGCACGAGCCAAGCUUUUCAGGAAAUCAUAAGCCUAGUUGUUUAUUUGGUUGAAAUGAGUUGAAAGGUAAUGAAAUUACAAUAUGAUGACUUAUUUUAAUUCGUCUCCAUUUACUCGCCUUUAGAUAGUUUAGAUGGUGUCUGUUUACUCACUGAGAUUUUAUAAUCUCACCACCCUCAUUUCCUCACAUUUCAGGCUCGGGGAAUUCCAUAGUUAGCUGACUCUGACAAGGACCUUCAUUUGGACUUGAAUCAGCAAAAGUUGUAGGUUUUCAGCUUCCGAUGCAUUUUCGUUAGAUGUGGGUCCACGUGUCGCUGUAAAAGUAAUUUUAUGCUUUGGUUAUUUUUUUAUAGUAUAUAUGAAUAUAAUUAACUUUUACGCUAUAAGAAUUAUUUACCGAUAGCUUUAUAAAAAUUAUUUUACCAGAA